GGUUCUGCAGUUCCCCGUGGGCGGUGUCAACGGGCUGCUCAGCAAGGGCAACGAUGCCGAGAGGGUCGGGGGCUGCACGCUAGCGUACCUGCCGGCGGUUCUGGAGUACCUGGCCUCCGACACCCUGGAGUUGGCGGGCAACGCCGUCGGAACAAGAAGAAGACCCGCAUCAUCCCGCGCCACCUGCAGCUGGCCAUCCGCAACGACAAGGAGCUCGACAAGCUGCUGGCCCGAGUGACAAUGGCUUAGGGUGACGUUUUGCCCAACAUCCAAGCUGUGCUGCUGUCCCAAAGGAUUGGGAGCCACUACCACAAAGUCCAGUAUGAAUAAC
This 331-nucleotide long non-coding RNA is filed under the name Homo sapiens (human). RNAcentral describes it as "non-protein coding lnc-HIST1H2BA-2:4". Lineage: Eukaryota; Metazoa; Chordata; Mammalia; Primates; Hominidae. The record is from RNAcentral.